Molecule: long non-coding RNA, 1748 nt
Filed under: Brassica rapa (field mustard)
Lineage: Eukaryota; Viridiplantae; Streptophyta; Magnoliopsida; Brassicales; Brassicaceae
Description: long non-coding RNA (BRAP_LNC001099)
Source: RNAcentral
GAGACGAGAGUUACUCAUCCUUUUCUUUUUCAGUAACACCUUGGUAAAAUAAAUAAAAUAAAAUUGAGUAUGUAUUUAAGUUUAUAAGUAAUAAAACUCAGUAUACAUACGGAACCCCAACGCCAUGGGCGGAUCUACAUUACGCAGCAUGGGGGCAGUUGCCCCCAGUAAAAUCUCUAAUUAAAUUUAAAUAGGCUAGGAGAACAAUGUGUUUUGCUGCCUUAUUGGUUAUAACAUUUUUUCUGCCCCCACUAGACCAACGUUCGAACCCAUCUGCAACCUUAAAUACCCGUGUUAUUUUUAUCUUUUUUUUGUAACAUGGCUUUCUUAUAAAAUGCAAAAGGAAAUAAAAUGUUUACAAGCUUAGAGCUUUAGAUAGACGGGCCUAGCCCAAUACGAAUAACAAAAGGAAAACCAUAAUUAAGAACCCAAUUGACUCACUUAGCCAAUAAAAUAGUAAUGAACGGUAGUUGAUCCCGGCGGACUUUUACGAAGUCGACAGCCACAACUGCAUCAGAGAUGAGGAGAGGCGAGGGUUGGAAGGUCUGAUAGAAGAGAUCUUGUUUCGAAUUAGGAGAUCAAGCUGUCUGAUCAGGGAGUCUUUCGAUCUGAAAGUUUGUCUAUGCAGUCGUGCGUUCCUCUCAGUCCAAAUCAAAUAGAUCGUUGCCUGCCAGGACCAAAGGCAUAGUUGGGUAGCUUUGCUCCUCUUUGGGAGAGUCUGCAUGCGAAGUAGUGUUGUAUGCCAGUCAUAGACAGCAGUCAUCGAGCAUCUAGAAGCGAUUGCCGUCCAGACUCCAAAACUGAAAGGACAAUCGAAUAGCAAGUGGUCUCUGGAUUCAUUCGCUGAGUUACAGAGAAGGCAAUUAGUAGGUGUUUGCAAUCCCCAGCUCUGUAGCCUAUCACGGGUGGGACAUCUGUUCAAGACAAAAAGCCAAGCAAGAAAAGAGUGUCGUGGGAUGCCUCUUUUAAUCCAAACUGCAGUAUACCAAGGGACAGUAGAGUAAGAACCCCUAAUCUCUUUGUACACUUCCGAAGUUGAGUAACGGAGAGUAGCAUUGUUACUAACACUCCACUCAUAGUAAUCAUCUUGAUCAAGCAGUUCAAUUGUAGUUAAGUAGGUUGCCACAUUUACUUGAUUUUCUGAUCUCGCAGGGGGCAGUGCCCAUGAGCCGUUGAUAUGGCGUGAUGCAAGCGAUGCUUUCCAGGGGAUGCCAAGAUGCGAGUGCUUAGUUGCUGAGAGGUAGUCAGUCAAGUUCCCAAAAGGAGACCAGUUGUCGGACCAGAAACGAGUUCUUGCCCCAUUCCCUACUCGAAGCUGAAUCCACGGGUAGAUUGUUUCCCUAAGUUUCAACAGUUUCCUAGCCAUCCAAGACAUCUUUCCUUUAUUUUUCUGGUUUCUUUUUCUUGACCACGUGUUUCAUUAUUUUUUUUCAUGUUCUUUUUUCCUUGUUCCUAUGUUGGUUUCAUUCAAAACUUUUGUUUUUAUAUAUUUUGAGUUCAAGUACUUUUUUCAUAUCAUUUUGUUAGUAUAUUCACUCUUUUUCUUCACUUAUUUUUUAGUUAUAUUAUUUCACAAAUUUAUUUUUCUUCUAAAUGUUAUUCUUAUUGAAAAAUAUUAAAACACAUUUAAGGAAUAUUAUUGAAUAAUCAAUUAAUUAAUUAUGCCCCACUCAAUAUAUUUUCUAGAUCCGCUACUGCUCAACGCUCGCGACCGAAGACCAUUUACGGUACCCACAUAGUGAUCAAUA